GACGAACGCUGGCGGCGUGCUUAACACAUGCAAGUCGAACGGAAAGGCCCUGCUUUUGUGGGGUGCUCGAGUGGCGAACGGGGGAGUAACACGUGAGUAAACUGCCCUUGACUUUGGGAUAACUUCAGGAAACUGGGGCUAAUACCGGAUAGGAGCUCCUGCUGCAUGGGGGGGGUUGGAAAGUUCCGGCGGUUGGGGCUGGACUCGCGGCUUAUGAGCUUGUUGGUGGGGUUGUGGUUUACCAGGGUUUUGACGGGUAGCCGGCCUGGGAGGGUGACCGGCCACAUUGGGACUGCGGUACGGCCCAGACUCCUACGGGCGGCAGCAGUGGGGAAUAUUGCACAAUGGGCGGAAGCCUGAUGCAGCAACGCCGCGUGCGGGAUGACGGCCUUCGGGUUGUAAACCGCUUUCGCCUGUGCCGAAGCGUGAGUGACGGUAAUGGGUAAAGAAGCACCGGCUAACUACGUG
RNAcentral lists this ribosomal RNA (468 nucleotides) under uncultured bacterium. RNAcentral's name for it is "partial 16S ribosomal RNA". It matches the Rfam family "Bacterial small subunit ribosomal RNA", at positions 28 to 507 of the family's 1533-position model. The record is from RNAcentral.